AAUCCCGGUGGGCAAACCCGGCAAAAGCCGGGGACGCAAAGCCACAGGUCUAAAGUUACCCAUUGAGGUAACCAUGACGGCUGGGUUGCAAGG
RNAcentral lists this non-coding RNA (93 nucleotides) under Desulfofundulus kuznetsovii. Its description in RNAcentral is "Desulfotomaculum kuznetsovii c-di-GMP sequence". It matches the Rfam family "c-di-GMP-I riboswitch aptamer". From Rfam's summary of the family: GEMM was predicted in a large-scale screen for bacterial structured RNA regulatory elements. Genes associated with GEMM are involved in a diverse array of functions, including chemotaxis regulation, signal transduction, secretion and chitin. Lineage: Bacteria; Bacillati; Bacillota; Clostridia; Eubacteriales; Peptococcaceae. The record is from RNAcentral.